GGGUAACAAGGGGCGAUGAGGGGCGGAAAUAGGUAGGUGGGAAGGGUUAUCCGUAAGUAUUGGGAGUAAAGCGCGCGUAGGCGGUUUUUUAAGUCGGAUGUGAAAGCACACGGCUCAACCGGGGAGGGUCAUUGGAAACUGGAAAACUUGAGUGCAGAAGAGGAAAGUGGAAUUCCAUGUGUAGCGGUGAAAUGCGCAGAGAUAUGGAGGAACACCAGUGGCGAAGGCGACUUUCUGGUCUGUAACUGACGCUGAUGUGCGAAAGCGUGGGGAUCAAACAGGAUAGAUACCCUUGUAGUC
This 300-nucleotide ribosomal RNA is filed under the name uncultured Paenibacillus sp. RNAcentral's name for it is "bacterial SSU rRNA". The stretch from base 53 to 300 matches the Rfam family "Bacterial small subunit ribosomal RNA", at positions 547 to 795 of the family's 1533-position model. Lineage: Bacteria; Bacillati; Bacillota; Bacilli; Caryophanales; Paenibacillaceae. The record is from RNAcentral.